RNAcentral lists this ribosomal RNA (455 nucleotides) under uncultured bacterium. RNAcentral's name for it is "bacterial SSU rRNA". It matches the Rfam family "Bacterial small subunit ribosomal RNA", at positions 1 to 453 of the family's 1533-position model. The record is from RNAcentral.
CCCUUAGAGUUUGAUCCUGGCUCAGGACGAACGCUGGCGGCGCGCCUAACACAUGCAAGUCGAACGAGAGAUGAGGAGCUUGCUCUUCAAAUCGAGUGGCGAACGGGUGAGUAACGCGUGAGGAACCUGCCUCAAAGAGGGGGACAACAGUUGGAAACGACUGCUAAUACCGCAUAAGCCCACGGCUCGGCAUCGAGCAGAGGGAAAAGGAGCAAUCCGCUUUGAGAUGGCCUCGCGUCCGAUUAGCUGGUUGGUGAGGUAAUGGCCCACCAAGGCGACGAUCGGUAGCCGGACUGAGAGGUUGAACGGCCACAUUGGGACUGAGACACGGCCCAGACUCCUACGGGAGGCAGCAGUGGGGAAUAUUGCACAAUGGGGGAAACCCUGAUGCAGCGACGCCGCGUGGAGGAAGAAGGUCUUCGGAUUGUAAACUCCUGUUGUUGAGGAAGAUAAUG